AAAAAUUGUAGUGGUUCUUCCUCAUCCACCAAUAACAUGGCAGUCACAAUUUUUCAAAAAAAGAAGAAGAAAAAGCUUGCUAAGUCAAACACCACAAAAGACGACUUAGGCAAAAAUCAGGGCAUCCCGAUGGACUGAAAGCUUCAAAGAAGCGGUCCAGGAAAAAUUAAGGAUAAAAAUCAAUCAAAAGAGGCAACCAAAAUCCUCAACAAAAACAAAAUAAGGUGACUGCCAUUUCAAGAAAAUAUCAUCUUGAAUCCUCAUUUUCACCUUCACACCUUCGAAGUCG
RNAcentral lists this long non-coding RNA (289 nucleotides) under Lathyrus oleraceus (garden pea). RNAcentral describes it as "Pisum sativum (pea) long non-coding RNA (PSAT_LNC028511)". The record is from RNAcentral. Lineage: Eukaryota; Viridiplantae; Streptophyta; Magnoliopsida; Fabales; Fabaceae.